UGCUUCUUCCUUCAGUCUUCUUUUUGCGGUCGGACUGUGAACACGAUCGGGCGAGUCAUUCUCGCUUUGCGUUUGCACCCGCGUCAAAGUCCAAUUUGUGUCGUCGGAAGAGGAAGACGCAAAAUUGAUUUGCGGCGGCGAUGCUAUUGAUGGUAGUAUAGAGGACUACCAUGGUUGCAACGGGUAACGGGGAAUCAGGGUUCGAUUCCGGAGAGGGAGCCUGAGAAAUGGCUACCACAUCCAAGGAAGGCAGCAGGCGCGUAAAUUACCCAAUCCCGGCACGGGGAGGUAGUGACGAGAAAUAACAAUAUAAGACUCUUUUAUGACGUCUUAUAAUUGGAAUGAGUUGAGCAUAAAUCCUUCAACAAGGAUCAAGUGGAGGGCAAGUCUGGUGCCAGCAGCCGCGGUAAUUCCAGCUCCACUAGCG
Aedes aegypti (yellow fever mosquito) is the source of this 427-nucleotide non-coding RNA. NCBI's taxonomy places the organism in Eukaryota, Metazoa, Arthropoda, Insecta, Diptera, Culicidae. The record is from Rfam.